UCUAUGUCCCUAACCAUUUCUCCCGGAUUCCAGAGCAGUGCUGCAAACUCUGCAGAAGAAGGAAAAAAUCCAAAAUCAUCCGGAGGCUCUGGUCAAAAGCAUUGGUCAGAUCGUGAAAAGAGAUUGCCAGUUGAAUAUAAAACAUGUCUAUAGAGAAGCCAAUAGAAGUGCAGAUUGGCUUGCUAAGAACAACCUAGAAGCUUUUCCAAAAUUUCACUUCAUUGACUUUCCCCCACCUGAGUUAAGGUACAUUAUUGAUGAUGAUAGUAGAGGGGUUUUAUUACCCCGUAUAGUCUCUAGUUUAAAGUUUUAGUUUUUGUUUUCUUGGGCUCUAAACCCCCUUGUAAACAAAUAAAAAAAAUCAUUUCUCUCGAAUUCGAUACUCACUGAAAAAUGAAAAUAAAGCUUACUUGCAGAUAAAAUAUUUACAAAAUAAAUUAAAACACAUACAUAAACCUUAUGAAGCUUCGCUGCAUGCUUGGCAUAGUCACCAACAAUAUAGGUAAAGUAUUGAAUAACAUCCAAGAACAAAGAAUAAAGUCUUGUGUACCCCUCUUGGCCCAGUCCGCUACUCCAUAUUUCUUCAUAUCGAUUAUUUGAUUUGAAACAAGGUGUAGCGGAAGCCUUCGAGGGGUGCAGAAGCCAAUUUCUUGUUGAAUCUUCGAAGCCUCUAGUGCAACCAUUUAUAUAUAGUAAUUUUCUUAAUUAUCAUGCUAUGCCCUAGUGAAACCUAUGGUUCUUCAAUGACCUUAUAUAGAGGAAGGGGGAUAAUACAGACAAAAGAAUAGUGGGUAUGUUCCCUGCACUCUAAAACGGAUCCAAUUCCACAUCAAGCACCACAAAAGUUUUU
This 850-nucleotide long non-coding RNA is filed under the name Arachis ipaensis. Its description in RNAcentral is "long non-coding RNA (AIPA_LNC001091)". Lineage: Eukaryota; Viridiplantae; Streptophyta; Magnoliopsida; Fabales; Fabaceae. The record is from RNAcentral.